CCUACGGGUGGCAGCAGUGGGGAAUUUUACGCAAUGGGGGAAACCCUGACGUAGCGACACCGCGUGAGCGAAGAAGCCCCUUGGGGUGUAAAGCUCUGUCAGCUGGAACGAAACAAAUGACGGUACCAGCAGAGGAAGCAUCGGCUAACUACGUGCCAGCAGCCGCGGUAAGACGUAGGAUGCGAGCGUUGUCCGGAUUUAUUGGGCGUAAAGAGUUCGUAGGUGGUUUGUUAAGUUUGAUGUUAAAGAUCGGGGCUCAACCUCGGGACAGCAUUGAAUACUGGCAGACUUGAGUAUGGUAGAGGCUAGUGGAAUUCCCAGUGUAGCGGUGAAAUGCGUAGAUAUUGGGAAGAACACCGGUGGCGUAGGCGACUAGCUGGGCCAUAACUGACGCUGAGGAACGAAAGCCAGGGGAGCGAAAGGGAUUAGAUACCCUUGUAGUC
This 443-nucleotide ribosomal RNA is filed under the name uncultured bacterium. RNAcentral's name for it is "bacterial SSU rRNA". It matches the Rfam family "Bacterial small subunit ribosomal RNA", at positions 338 to 795 of the family's 1533-position model. The record is from RNAcentral.